Molecule: long non-coding RNA, 481 nt
Filed under: Citrus maxima (pomelo)
Lineage: Eukaryota; Viridiplantae; Streptophyta; Magnoliopsida; Sapindales; Rutaceae
Description: long non-coding RNA (CMAX_LNC003234)
Source: RNAcentral
CAAGCGCCAGUUUUCAAUAAUCUUGAUCAAACUUUUCUUCAUUCAGUAUCUAUCAGUUCUUUGUGCUGCCCGGAACUUCGAUUUCUUCUACUUUGUCCUGCAGGUAAGUGAUUCAUUAUAUACAUGUAUGUAGUUCUUUGAAUUUGUGUAUGUAGUUCUUUCAAUCUAUGCUAUGCGUAUUUUAUGUAAUGGGUUAUGAAAUGAAAUGUAGUGGCCAGGAUCAUACUGUGAUACAGCGAAGAGUUGCUGCUAUCCAACGACUGGAAAGCCAGCAGCAGAUUUCGGGAUUCAUGGACUCUGGCCUAAUUACAACGACGGCUCCUAUCCAUCCAACUGUGACCCCAAUGCCCCUUUCGAUCAAUCCCAGGUCCCUUCACUCUCUAACCUCCCCUUUUUAUUGUUAUCAUCACACUAGCUACCUGUUACCUGUGUAGUAGAUUCCGUUAACCAAUUUAUAUUUGUUAUAUUUUGUUUUUUUUUU